This 782-nucleotide long non-coding RNA is filed under the name Lonchura striata (white-rumped munia). Its description in RNAcentral is "domestica (Bengalese finch) lncRNA (ENSLSDG00000004517.1)". Lineage: Eukaryota; Metazoa; Chordata; Aves; Passeriformes; Estrildidae. The record is from RNAcentral.
UUUGUCAUGAUGGAGGCUGGUACAUCCUUUCUCCUGGAUGAAGUUUGUUGCAAAGCCAAGCUUGAUUAAGAAGCACUUGGAGAAGAGACAUAGAAAAGCUGCAGUCAUGCUAUCAGUCUGUUUUAAGGCCAGUUGGAAUGAAGUCAUGCAAUGGAUUCAGUUUGGCUGGGUGAAAAAAACAUCCCAUAUUUGCAUUGUUAUAGUCCUUCAUCAUUCACAUUUGAUCUAUCUGGCAUUUGAUACAAGAUACAGGCACGGACAAUUUGCCUCAAACUGCUACAAUGUUUACAGAAGAGAGAUCAUCCAAGAUAGAGCUAAGAAAAUGUUAUCUUGAAUUUCCAGACUUCUGGAAACCUGUUCUGAGAAGGUGAGUGCAGAUUUGUAUGACUGGAAUGGUAUCCUUUGCUCCUCUCUUUGGAGGGCACAUUCUUUUUCUUAUUAUUAAUGUGACUAAUUGCGGUGGUGUGUUUUUCUUUCAUUUAAUAUUUGUUUAAUAUCUGUUUCCCCCCCCAACCCCCCAAUCUCCUCCUCUCCCCAGUGUCAGUCUUCCCUAGCUCUCCCCUAACCCCCCCCUCAUCUCCAAGUGGUCAAUCCUCCCUUUCCCUGCCCCUUUCCCUGGAACAUUCCCUGUCAUGUUAGUUCUGCCCUAAACUCCUCCCCUGCUAUUCCCUUAGUGGUUACUGUUCCUACACCCCUCCUCCUGAGUUCUGUAUAAAACCUCUGCUCCCGCCCCCGAGGGGGUCUUGGGGCUCAGUGAAUAAAACCAUCCUGUUCACCCCCCA